This 440-nucleotide ribosomal RNA is filed under the name uncultured bacterium. RNAcentral describes it as "bacterial SSU rRNA". It matches the Rfam family "Bacterial small subunit ribosomal RNA", at positions 338 to 768 of the family's 1533-position model. The record is from RNAcentral.
CCUACGGGUGGCAGCAGUGGGGAAUAUUGCGCAAUGGACGAAAGUCUGACGCAGCGACGCCGCGUGUGGGAGGAAGCCUUUCGGGGUGUAAACCACUGUCAGGGGGGAAGAACGCCGUCAUGUCUAAUAGGCGUGGCGGGUGACGGUACCCCCAGAGGAAGCACCGGCUAACUCCGUGCCAGCAGCCGCGGUAAGACGGAGGGUGCAAGCGUUGUUCGGAAUUACUGGGCGUAAAGGGCGGGCAGGUGGUCCGUUAAGUCGUCUGUGAAAAUCCGGGGCUCAACCCCGUGAAAUGCAGGCGAAACUGACGGACUAGAGACCAGUAGAGGCUAGCGGAAUUCCUGGUGUAGCGGUGGAAUGCGUAGAUAUCAGGAAGAACACCUGUGGCGAAGGCGGCUAGCUGGGCUGGAUCUGACACUCAUCCGCGAAAGCGUGGGGAG